ACGAAGGGUGCAAGCGUUGUUCGGAAUUACUGGGCGUAAAGGGCGCGUAGGCGGUCUUGUCAGUCCCUUGUGAAAUCCCCCGGCUCAACUGGGGAACUGCACGGGAAACAGCAGGGCUUGAGUUCGGGAGAGGGAAGCGGAAUUCCGGGUGUAGCGGUGAAAUGCGUAGAGAUCGGGAGGAACACCAGUGGCGAAGGCGGCUAUCUGGAAGGUCACUGACGCUGAGGCACGACAGCUGGGGGAGCAAACAGGA
Molecule: ribosomal RNA, 253 nt
Filed under: uncultured prokaryote
Description: partial 16S ribosomal RNA
Rfam family: Bacterial small subunit ribosomal RNA
Source: RNAcentral